RNAcentral lists this ribosomal RNA (425 nucleotides) under uncultured bacterium. RNAcentral's name for it is "partial 16S ribosomal RNA". It matches the Rfam family "Bacterial small subunit ribosomal RNA", at positions 354 to 796 of the family's 1533-position model. The record is from RNAcentral.
GUAGGGAAUCUUGCGCAAUGGGCGAAAGCCUGACGCAGCCAUGCCGCGUGAAUGAUGAAGGUCUUAGGAUUGUAAAAUUCUUUCACCGGGGACGAUAAUGACGGUACCCGGAGAAGAAGCCCCGGCUAACUUCGUGCCAGCAGCCGCGGUAAUACGAAGGGGGCUAGCGUUGCUCGGAAUUACUGGGCGUAAAGGGAGCGUAGGCGGAUAGUUUAGUCAGAGGUGAAAGCCCAGGGCUCAACCUUGGAAUUGCCUUUGAUACUGGCUAUCUUGAGUAUGGAAGAGGUAUGUGGAACUCCGAGUGUAGAGGUGAAAUUCGUAGAUAUUCGGAAGAACACCAGUGGCGAAGGCGACUCACUGGCCCGUUACUGACGCUGAGGCGCGAAAGCGUGGGGAGCAAACAGGAUUAGAUACCCGUGUAGUCC